AUACGGAGGGUGCAAGCGUUACUCGGAAUCACUGGGCGUAAAGCGCGCGCAGGCGGUCUUUUAAGUUGGAUGUGAAAGCCUACGGCUCAACCGUAGAACUGCAUCCAAAACUAUUAGACUAGAGUGUGGGAGAGGAAGAUGGAAUUAGUUGUGUAGGGGUAAAAUCCGUAGAGAUAACUAGGAAUACCAAAAGCGAAGGCAAUCUUCUGGAACACUUCUGACGCUGAGGCGCGAAAGCGUGGGGAGCAAACAGGAUUAGAUACCCUAGUAGUCC
This 274-nucleotide ribosomal RNA is filed under the name uncultured bacterium. Its description in RNAcentral is "partial 16S ribosomal RNA". It matches the Rfam family "Bacterial small subunit ribosomal RNA", at positions 523 to 796 of the family's 1533-position model. The record is from RNAcentral.